This is a long non-coding RNA of Gasterosteus aculeatus aculeatus (three-spined stickleback), 3564 nucleotides long. The record is from Ensembl. Lineage: Eukaryota; Metazoa; Chordata; Actinopteri; Perciformes; Gasterosteidae.
GGUUAAGCUUAGUUAAAAAGCCCUUUUCAUUGGUUUUCUUUUUGUUCCCGGAUUUCUUUUCUUUUUUAAAGCACAGUAAGAGAGAUGGGGACACAUUAGUCGACUUCCUGCCUCAGUGCAGCCGGCCUGUCAGAGAAUGGAAGAGUCCCAAAGGUUUUAAAGCGUUUUCUGCCGCAUCACUACAGCGUUACGGCCUCUCCAGUUAGUCAUGUUAAUACUGCGAGGAUAAAGCAACACAUCAGAUGAAUGGAAGGGAGCAUACUACACAAUAGUUGCAUAACCUUUUAUGCAACACUACCCGAUAUCUUGUUAUAAGAAAACCUGGUAAAAAGUGUGGCUUAACUUAUUUGACCUUCUGUAAAAGCUUAUAUUUAAUCAAUCACAUGGUAUCAGAUGCACAUCAGAACCCCUUCCUAGGCAUUAUGGUUCACAACUUUUCAAUACAGUGAAGAUUAAAUACCAAAAAACAAUUCAGUUUUUGAUACAUUUAGUACAUAUUAAAGUCAGUACCAUAAAAGGAAAUGUGUUGGGUCCUAAAAGUUCUGGGCAUAGUUUUUUAUACAUUUCAUGCACUGUAAAAAAUAUACAUAAUAUAUUUUUUAUUUAUUUUUAACCACUCAAGCGACGUUUGAUAUGCCCCAUGCCUGUAACACUUUUUGUUCUUGCAAACAUGCAGUUGAUAGUCUGAAUGUUGCAGAUGUAAUAUUGAAAGUAUAAUCUGACUGUAUAUGAUAUUGUGCUCAAAUGAGAUGCAUGUUGCAGACAAAGUGUUUUCAUCCUCACCAGUUGAGGAUCCAUGCGCAGAAGAAGACAGGGAAAUGAAAGAGCAGGAUUGUUGUUGACCUUUGCACAAACAAGGACUGACAUGCUAGUGCUAGUGGUAAAUAGGGCUUUUUCCCAUGCAUACCCCUCAGCAUAUAACCUAAUGAUAUGCAAACCCUUUGCCUUUGAAGUGUGACCCUACUGUGAACUAGUUGGCUCAAUUGUUGCCUCGUCCUGACUCAUUCACUUCAUGCAAGACCUAACUGCUUGCAUUCACAUACAAUACUUGUAAUGACAUUUUGACUUUAAGGUCAAAUAAAGCCGGUUCAUCUUUGAACCGGCCGGAACCAACUGUACAGACUGUUUACAGGCAGCUACAGUGAGAUGUUAAACUCAGAAUCUCUAUUUGUUUGAGCCAAUUCCUCUCUCCUCCUCCUCCCUUUCUUUUCAUUCUAUUUUCCACCACACUGGUCCGACGGAAAAGCUCAGCCUGUGCCAACACACACAUCAUGCACGCACAAUGCCGUCUCGCUUUGAGGCAGCACCAUGAAGCCGGCACCUCGGAAACAGGAACCGCAGGCUGACCCUAAAGACAGGAAGGGAAAACUGUGGCUCAAACUGGACCCUGAACUCCUCAGCAAGUUGGAACAUUGUAAAGAUCAUGUUAUUUACAUUUCAAUGCUUUUAAUGCCAAAAGAACAGCAUGUAUCUAUUGCUGGACGCCUAUUUCAAUCAUUGUAUAUCAUCUAGCCACAGCAGAAAUGAGGUCAUUUGAACCUCCUUCCCUUUUUAAACAUAUGCGUUGGCUGUAACGCAGCAUGGCAUGCCAAAAAGACUGUCUGCUCGGCUAGUUUGGGUUUUAUUUCCAAAUUUGCAGAGCCAUAUGGUGAAACAAAAAUGUAAUGCCAGGAACAAACCUGCAGUUUAUAGUGUGUCUCUUUGAAGCUAUGCACUAGCCAGAGGUUUCAUUUGUUUCCGUUGGACAUUAAUUAAAGGCAUUAAUUAAAACAAGAUUUAAUGAGUACUGACAGUCUAGGUGCCAGCAUGAAUCCCUUGCAGCCAGAUUGUUUCUGAAAAGGGGAAAAUAGCUGCAUUGUGUGUACAUGGAUGAGAACGGAAGUGUUACUUCCGUUCUCAUCCAUGCUGGUGAAAAACACCUUUUAUUUUAGUUUCAUGUAAAUGUAAAGAUGUAUCAGAUGCCCAAUGCGUGGUGUGUUUGCCUUGGCUUCAGGUGCCAGGCACCCUCCAGCUAUUCUGGGCAGCAAGACAAACAGCGUGAUUACAUAGAAGAGUGGAUAUCCACAAGGUUGCCAUGACAAUGAGAGCGAGCGGGCUUCAGUUCGAGUGGAAACAACGUUCUAGCGGCGUUCUAGCGGUACUAAAGUGAGAUGAAAGAGAUGAGAUAACUGCCUUUUUAACACGUGGGUCUGAAUAAUGAGGUAAUUAUGCUGUUCAUAUGGGAUUUGAGAUCUGACUACUUUGAAGUAGUGUGUACGUUUUGUGAUUAAUGAUUCGUUUAGUAAUAUCUUAUAGAUAUUGAGUUGCAUUAUGAACAAAUUAUAUGGAAAAAUAUGUAUUACUUCUUCCUGAUUCCUCCGACAUCUCUUGAAAAUAUGUUUAAUCUCAGCAAUGCAAAGCAAUUCAGUAAGUUAGCAAAAGAUUCUUCUUUUCCAUUGCAGCACAGCAACAUGCACAGUAACUCCCUACGAAGCAAAUUUGCUUCUCACAUUCCCCACUGCUCUGUUCUGCAUCAGCACUCAGCUCUGCCACUCUUUCUAUUAGUCUUGGACAUUUUUUAGAGAAGCUUCAGUAAAAGAAAGACUUUCCGUGUUAUAUGCACAAGCACGAUUGAUCCCGGGACUGACGUGAGUCUCUUGGUACCUGACAACUCCUUAAAGAGGCACCAUUGAGCAUUUCCUUUCCUUGAAUCUUAUCCAUCCUUUUUUUCCACAUCCUGACUGCUCAAAAAAAUGGUGAAUGAAAAAACCCCCACUGAGUGCACACUGGGCUUUGAACUGGGUCAAAAACUUUGCUUAAGCCACACAAAGCUUGGAGGAUUGAAAGAUAAAAGCCAGAGAGACUAACUGCUGUUUGCUGGAUCAGUCUAAUCAAUAUCUUGCUUUUGCUUAAGUGAUUGGAACGUCUUUUAUUCCCAUGAUGAAUAUUUUAUUAUGCACUGUAUCCAGAGAAUUCUUUUUUUGUGAUUUAUAAAUAUCUGAUUAUGUUAAUUAACAUGGGUAAUUAUAUUAUGCAGUAUGUAAAUGAUAUGAGCUUAUCCGAUAAUUAAAGAUAUUUAAUGUUUUGCUUGUGUUUUUAUUCCCUUAUACAAACUGUAUAAAGUACCCCUGCUUAUCUGCGCUCUGCUGAGUGCUUUCAGUGAAGCGUGUGUAGAUUUCUAAUCAAUACUUAGACUUAAAGCACUCCUUGGAAUUACCUUCCACAACAACAACAACAACGAUGUUGUUGCUGAUGGGUGAAAGUAGAGAAAUGAAUGUGGGGCAGUAAAUUUGAAGGGAAUUUUAACAAUAUCAACUUAUGCACAUUUGGUCUAAAUCAACACAUGCAAACAUUCAAAGUUGUUAUCAUCACGUAAACAAUUAGGUUCCGUUAAAACUUUUUAAGAAUGUUUUAAUUUUAAUGUACUCAUCAAAGUGGGUGAAAGACAGGACCUCCUUACUAAUCCACAUUUUAUCUUGUGUCCUGGGUGUGUUGUCUUCUUUCGUCCACUUCUGUUCACUUUCCCUGAAACAUCUCUGCAGCUAUCUUUCUUUAUAUGUCUAUUUCUGUCAUCUUAAUUAGUGC